AAGCGGACGGAUGACCAGAUCCAGAGUUGGAAGUUACCUUUGGUGAAACCCUCUACCCAGCCUGAAUCCUUCCAGGUUGUAGGACACUCACUACCUCUCAAAGCAUGUCAUUUCUUCUUCAUUAGAAAAUUCUUCUUCAUGCCACCUUUAAGCUGAAAUAUGACUUCCCUGUAAUAUUUCCCCUUCCUCGGUGAUCAUAGCUCUGCCUUCCAGGCCCAGAAAGAACAGGUCAAAUUUCUACCUCAUCUGACCACCUUCAUGCAAUAAAAGACAGAGCUCUGUGCACUUGGAGAGUUAAAGCCUCACCCCAAAUGCAUCUUCCCGGCAGAGAGACAGUCCUUUUGCAGUUAAAUCACACUGAAAAUCCUCAAGAGGAAUAUCUGUUUCUGGUUCAUUCCAGAGAUGCACUAAAUGGCAAGAACAUGGAGGCAACACAUGGACCCGAUGGAGUCUCCUUGUGGGAGGGGACUCCCAUCUUUGAAGAACAAGAACUAUUUAUCUAGGAAUAGAGAAAUCUCUGAGUGAGACACCACCUGUCUUGAAGAUGAUUCUAUGGCAGAGGAAGCCUUGUUUUGGGUCUAAGUCCAUAGUAUAUACGUUACAGCAAAGCAGAUUUCAACUCAAUUAUUUAAAAAAGACUGUAGAACUGCAAGUGCAUAAAAACUCAUAGAAUAGUAGUAACUGUAGGAAUCAUUACUAUUAGGCCCCAGCUUGAACUUCAUUGCCCCUUUGAAUUCAGGAAAUAAAUAAGCACAUGUACACAUACGCACACCCCAUAUGUCACACCAGGCAUUGUGGCGCCAUCCAUGACUGACACUAAACAUUCUAGAAGUAUUUCUGUUUUCAUGCAGAUACACACAGCACAGCUAGUUUCAAAAUUAAACCACAAUGAAAACUGUCACUACUGACAAGGAACUAUGCAAAGACCUUCGGUCUCAGGCCCUUGCUCACUCAGGAGUACCUUGAGACCUGUUUCUUCCUGUUCAGCUGCAGUCACGGUUCUAACCUGGUUCUUCUCACGGCUGGUAUCCUCUGACCUUUUAUGUCUUGGCAAUGACUUCCAUGCAUUUUGGCAGUGACUGCCUGAAUCUCUGAUUCAACCCUGAUCGCAGCCUCUCGGGCUUUCUCGCUCCUUUAAUUCUUUCCGCGGAUGGCCACGGCUUUUGCCGCCUGUACCCUUCCUGGAGCAACCCGUGCUUUUGAAAAAUGACCAUGCCGAAGGGGAACUAACACUCCCAGCCUGGUGCGGGUCUUGUCAAUCUGAUUUUUAAAUGAUGGAGGAGGAGGUUUGAGGACAAAGCUCAUGGUGGCAUUACCACUAUCAGGGACGCUGCAAAGAUCAAGUGAAAAGGGGAAAAGGCUCUUCUCAAUGUGAGCACAUUCACAGGCUCUGAGAACAGAGAGGUAUUUAAAGUGAACUGGAACAAACCUGCAACAUCCGGUGCGUUCUGCCUUCAAAAAUAGCUGCCAGUUAGAAAGGGUUAUUUACAUAUUGAUUUCAUGCUAACUUUGUAAUGGAAUGUGCUGCCUGCCUGCCUGCCUGAGACCUAACAACUGUCAUCAUAAUUUUUUCUAAAAAUACAGUCAGAGAAAAACACUCAUUGAACCCUCCACUGGAAAGUAGCUGCAAAAGACCCCCUGAUCCCAAACCUGCUUGACAGACCACAGCCAAGGGCAGGGACACUCAACAACUGUAAACGAGGAACAUUUCACAGCGGCAGCUGGCCCCUCUCUUCUUCCAACCAGCCAAUAUUUUUUGUCUUUCUAGAAAACCUGUCUUGUUCAAAGGCCUGAUGGAGCUGAUUCGGUUGUGAUCCUGGGCAUAUGGAUGGCAUAUUUGCUGCGAGCUAG
This 1851-nucleotide long non-coding RNA is filed under the name Homo sapiens (human). Its description in RNAcentral is "HSALNT0291517". The record is from RNAcentral. Lineage: Eukaryota; Metazoa; Chordata; Mammalia; Primates; Hominidae.